RNAcentral lists this ribosomal RNA (465 nucleotides) under uncultured bacterium. RNAcentral's name for it is "partial 16S ribosomal RNA". It matches the Rfam family "Bacterial small subunit ribosomal RNA", at positions 28 to 507 of the family's 1533-position model. The record is from RNAcentral.
GACGAACGCUGGCGGCGUGCUUAACACAUGCAAGUCGAACGGAAAGGCCCCUUUGGGGGUCCUCGAGUGGCGAACGGGUGAGUAACACGUGAGUAACCUGCCCUUGACUUCGGGAUAACUUCAGGAAACUGGGGCUAAUACCGGAUAGGAAUCCUUGCUGCAUGGUGGGGGUUGGAAAGCUUCGGCGGUUUUGGAUGGACUCGCGGCUUAUCAGCUUGUUGGUGGGGUAGUGGCUUACCAAGGCUUUGACGGGUAGCCGGCCUGAGAGGGCGACCGGCCACAUUGGGACUGAGAUACGGCCCAGACUCCUACGGGAGGCAGCAGUGGGGAAUAUUGCACAAUGGGCGGAAGCCUGAUGCAGCAACGCCGCGUGCGGGAGGACGGCCUUCGGGUUGUAAACCGCUUUCAGCAGGGGCGAAGCUUGUGGUGACGGUACCUGCAGAAGAAGCACCGGCUAACUACGUG